GGCAUUCAAGUGUUUACACCGCUUGCCCAGGUCACAAAGCCUGUAAGUGGAGGAGAUGGGAUUCAAUCCAGGGCUGCACUAUCUCAGUGACGCACGGCAGCAAAGAAGUCCGAGGCAAGGCAGAGGUUCCUAGAAAUUUCUGCUAUAUGAUUUAAAAGUGUUAAACACAAACCACAGUAGGUAAGGAGCCCAACAAGAAAACACGCUUCACUACGUGGCACCUGUGUCGGUAUGUCAUUUUCUGGAGAACAGCAAGAGGACACUGCCUUGUCAAUGUUCACAGCAAUAGAUAAUCCACCUUUCCUAGUUUUAAUAAACUAAGAUGGAAAUAAAGUCAUCUUACUUUUACUCUCCCACCAUUCAUCCACAAAAAGGAGUAAGCCAAAUCAAACUCCAAAUGUUCUCCAUCAAAGAAGAUGCCGAGACAAAGCUGAGGACAAGACACGGCCAUGUGAAGGUGCUGAUGGGAAGCAGGCCCCACACCAGACCCUCCACAAGUGCAUGGGAAAGCAGAGCUGAACAGAUAAAGCAGCUUGAGGCAGUGCAUCAAAUGUGAAGAGUAGAGACUAGAAUAAUGACCCCAGUUCCAACAAUUACCAACACAAGGCCAAUUUUCUUUCCUGUGUUGUGAAACCUGUGGAAUGCCCACAGAACGAUGUACCCCAGCAGACCCUGAGAAGAGGCCCAAAGCAACUGCUAAAGGGAUCAGCAUCUUGUGGGGAGUAAGGGCCACUUAAAACAUGUGUAAAACCAAGGAACGACAAUAAAACCCUGCAAGGUCAGCAGUGAUGAGUCACAGUGAUAUCAC
RNAcentral lists this long non-coding RNA (808 nucleotides) under Fukomys damarensis (Damara mole-rat). Its description in RNAcentral is "lncRNA (ENSFDAG00000032337.1)". The record is from RNAcentral. Lineage: Eukaryota; Metazoa; Chordata; Mammalia; Rodentia; Bathyergidae.